Molecule: transfer RNA, 75 nt
Filed under: Bacillota bacterium
Lineage: Bacteria; Bacillati; Bacillota
Also listed under: 1 other name
Description: Firmicutes bacterium (anaerobic digester metagenome) tRNA-Thr
Rfam family: tRNA
About the family: Transfer RNA (tRNA) molecules are approximately 80 nucleotides in length. Their secondary structure includes four short double-helical elements and three loops (D, anti-codon, and T loops). Further hydrogen bonds mediate the characteristic L-shaped molecular structure. tRNAs have two regions of fundamental functional importance: the anti-codon, which is responsible for specific mRNA codon recognition, and the 3' end, to which the tRNAs corresponding amino acid is attached (by aminoacyl-tRNA synthetases). tRNAs cope with the degeneracy of the genetic code in two manners: having more than one tRNA (with a specific anti-codon) for a particular amino acid; and 'wobble' base-pairing, i.e. permitting non-standard base-pairing at the 3rd anti-codon position.
Source: RNAcentral
GCCGACGUAGCUCAACGGUAGAGCAGCUGAUUUGUAAUCAGCCGGUUGGGGGUUCGAGUCCCUUCGUCGGCUCCA